This 839-nucleotide small RNA is filed under the name Pongo abelii (Sumatran orangutan). RNAcentral describes it as "retained intron". The record is from RNAcentral. Lineage: Eukaryota; Metazoa; Chordata; Mammalia; Primates; Hominidae.
GGAGUGAAGGAGACACCCCAGCAAAAGUACCAGCGCCUGCUGCAUGAGGUCCAAGAGCUAACCACUGAAGUUGAAAAAAUCAAGACGACAGUGAAGGAGUCAGCCACAGAGGAGAAGCUGACCCCUGUGGUGCUAGCUAAACAGCUGGCAGCCCUGAAGCAGCAGCUGGUUGCUUCCCACCUGGAGAAGCUUCUGGGACCAGAUGCUGCAAUCAACCUUACCGACCCCGAUGGCGCCCUGGCUAAGCGCCUACUACUGCAGCUGGAAGCAACAAAGAACAGCAAAGGGGGAUCAGGGGGAAAAACCACUGGGACCCCCCCAGAUAGCAGCCUUGUCACUUAUGAACUACAUUCUCGGCCUGAGCAGGACAAGUUCUCUCAAGCUGCCAAAGUCGCAGAACUUGAAAAGCGCCUGACAGAGCUGGAGACAGCUGUACGUUGUGAUCAGGAUGCUCAGGUCAGGUGUUCUCCUGUACAUAAUCUGAGCCUUAGAUCCUGCAACUCUAGGCCUUAAGGUCUACAACAUUCCACAUAAGCCUGGGAGGAGUCAUCAAAGGGCUUCAGUUACAGGGAUCAGCUAGUGGGUUCCCAGCUAGAACCAGGAAAGAUGGGAGAUGAUAAUCAUGGAGAUAUAAGGACCACUCACUUCUUCCCUCCCUUUCCCACCAGAAUCCCCUUUCUGCAGGUCUACAGGGAGCCUGUCUCAUGGAGACUGUAGAGCUGUUGCAAGCAAAGGUGAGCGCCCUAGACCUUGCAGUUUUGGAUCAAGUGGAGGCUCGGCUACAGAGUGUCCUGGGAAAGGUGAACGAGAUUGCCAAGCAUAAAGCCUCUGUAGAAGAU